CAAAUAUAUACUGUGUCUGUUACAUUUUACAAUAACAAUGGGUGACUAGGCCCGCAGCAUUUAUAACGAAGGCUUGCGUGCAGGUACCCUGUUGAUUGAUGCACGAAUAUUCAAACCACAAAAGUGUUGAUUUAAAACUGUUCUUUGUUGUAUGUACAAUAGGUUUAAAUAAAUUUAAGGUAACUUAAAACAUAUACAGACAAGAAUAUACAGACAAGUAUUAAGUAAUUAGGUUUAGUUAAUAUACAGACAAUUAAGAUACAAUAAGGUGUUAUGAUUCCUGGGCCGUUUUUGUAUUUCCUGUUUUAUUUUGAAGGACUACCUGUUUCAGCCAGAUCACACCUGUUUCCUAUGUUAUCUCCGGUUCACCUUACACACCUGUCCAUAGUUAGUAAUCACCGCCAGUAUUUAAGCACCACCUCAGCCAGCAGUCAAACGCUAGAUUGUUGCGUGUGUACUCACCUCUUUCCCGCAUUGCCGUGUUAGUUUACCUGGAUCCUGACCUUGUUCCUGAACCUCGUUACUCCUGAUUCCUGCCUGCUCCUUGUCUGUACCUCUGCUACGAUAACCUGACCUGAACCUGCCCGCUGCCUUUGUACUGUCACUGAAGCUUCCUCGUGUAUGAACCUUCCUGACCUGACCACGUUUGUAUCAAUAAAACCUGUCUCCAGCUAAACUACAAUCUUGUCUGACGCUGUGCAUGUGGGUCCGACAUCUGCCUAAACCCGACAAUAAGUCUAACAGCGGUGGGUAUAAAGGAUCCUUCACUGGGGGUGCAUCAGUCUCCAGUGAAGGAGCUGCUCAGAGCCUCCACUGUCUGAUGCAGUGGAUGAGAGGCCCUGUCCAUGAUGGAUGUCAGCUCAGCCAGCGUCCUCCUCCACAGAGUCCAGUGGAGGCCCAGGACAGAGCCGGCCUUCCUCACCAGCUGCUUCAGCCUUUUCCUGCCUGCUCCCCAGCAGACCACAGCGUGGUGGAGGACAGGGGUCUGAUUAUCAGUGUGCGUCCAGUCCAGUCUGUUGUUUAGGUGAACACACAGGUACUUCUCUGUGCAUUGUCUCUACUGUAUGUCUGGCCCCUGGAUGAUCAAUGGUCAUUUACCAUCUCCUUUAUCUUACUGGUGCAUACGCUCAUACCAGUCCACAAACUCCACGAUGUACUCCAGUUCAUCCAACCAGGGUCGAGUCAUCUGAGAACUGCGGCUGAAUAACACCAGGUUUGUAAAGACAUCUGGCCAGAUGAGCGUCCUCCAAUUAGUUGAUUUUAGUUUCAAUAAAACUAGAAAAGUGGGAAAUACA
This 1295-nucleotide long non-coding RNA is filed under the name Betta splendens (Siamese fighting fish). RNAcentral's name for it is "lncRNA (ENSBSLG00000005471.1)". The record is from RNAcentral. Lineage: Eukaryota; Metazoa; Chordata; Actinopteri; Anabantiformes; Osphronemidae.